Long non-coding RNA from Oncorhynchus keta (chum salmon), 923 nucleotides. RefSeq lists it as uncharacterized. The transcript is spliced from 3 exons. The record is from RefSeq and is a predicted model, not a curated record. NCBI's taxonomy places the organism in Eukaryota, Metazoa, Chordata, Actinopteri, Salmoniformes, Salmonidae.
AACAGCUCAUUGAUGAGAGGUCGGCAGUCCUGUGGGUGAGAACAGCUCAUUGAUGAGAGGUUGACAGUCCUGUGGGUGACAACAGCUCAUUAUGAGAGGUUGACAGUCCUGUGGGUGACAACAGCUCGGUGAUGAGAGGUUGACAGUCCUGUGGGUGACAACAGCUCGGUGAUGAGAGGUCGGCAGUCCUGUGGGUGAGAACAGCUCGUUGAUGAGAGGUCGGCAGUCCUGUGGGUGACAACAGCUCAUUGAUGAGAGGUCGGCAGUCCUGUGGGUGAGAACAGCUCGUUGAUGAGAGGUCGGCAGUCCUGUGGGUGACAACAGCUCAUUGAUGAGAGGUCGGCAGUCCUGUGGGUGACAACAGCUCAUUGAUGAGAGGUCGGCAGUCCUGUGGGUGACAACAGCUCAUUGAUGAGAGGUCGGCAGUCCUGUGGGUGACAACAGCUCAUUGAUGAGAGGUCGGCAGUCCUGUGGGUGACAACAGCUCAUUGAUGAGAGGUCGGCAGUCCUGUGGGUGACAACAGCUCGGUGAUGAGAGGUCGGCAGUCCUGUGGGUGAGAACAGCUCGUUGAUGAGAGGUCGGCAGUCCUGUGGGUGACAACAGCUCAUUGAUGAGAGGUCGGCAGUCCUGUGGGUGAGAACAGCUCGUUGAUGAGAGGUCGGCAGUCCUGUGGGUGACAACAGCUCAUUAAUGAGAGGUCGGCAGUCCUGUGGGUGACAACAGCUCGGUGAUGAGAGGUCGGCAGUCCUGUGGGUGACAACAGCUCAUUAAUGAGAGGUCGGCAGUCCUGUGGGUGACAACAGCUCGGUGAUGAGAGGUCGGCAGUCCUGUGGGUGAGAACAGCUCAUUGAUGAGAGGUCGGCAGUCCUGUGGGUGAAACAGCUCAUUGAUGAGAGGUCGGCAGUCCUGUGGGUGACAACAG